This 518-nucleotide ribosomal RNA is filed under the name Ambidexter symmetricus. RNAcentral describes it as "partial 16S ribosomal RNA". It matches the Rfam family "Bacterial large subunit ribosomal RNA", at positions 1924 to 2645 of the family's 2925-position model. Lineage: Eukaryota; Metazoa; Arthropoda; Malacostraca; Decapoda; Processidae. The record is from RNAcentral.
UAAAUGGCCGCGGUAAUUUGACCGUGCGAAGGUAGCAUAAUCAAUAGUCUUUUAAUUGAAGGCUGGAAUGAAUGGUCGGACGAGAAAUAAGUUGUCUCCUUUUAUAAUCUUGAAUUUUACUUUUAAGUGAAAAGGCUUAAAUAAGUUGGUGGGACGAUAAGACCCUAUAAAACUUUACAAGGAAGUAUAAUUUUUUAGGUGAGAAGUGUAAAAAGUAUUUGUGCUUGUCUUGUUUUGUUGGGGCGACAAGAAUAUAAUAAUUGUUCUGUAACUGUUAAAAAAAAAGAAUAAUAUUAAUUAGAUUUUGAUCCAGUAUUAUUGAUUAAAAGAUCAAGUUACUUUAGGGAUAACAGCGUAAUUUUUUUUGAGAGUUCUUAUCGACAAAAUUAGUUGCGACCUCGAUGUUGAAUUAAAGUUUCCUUUUUGUGUAGAAGCAUAGAGGGUAGGUCUGUUCGACCUUUAAAACUUUACAUGAUUUGAGUUCAAACCGGUGUGAGCCAGGUUGGGUUUCUAUCUAA